AUGGAUCCAGAGACUAAAAGUCUGCUUAGAAUUUCCAGAAUUCUAAAAGUACUUGAUGUCUGCAUCAGGAUUAAACCAUCUAGGUCCAGAACACACUGUAAAAUCACUCUCUGUUAUGUGAGAAUGACUAUGGCUAGUGAAAUAUGUCUAUUUCUAUAUACUAAAUAUAUAUACAUUCAUAUUUAUAUGAGUUGGUCAUUUCUUUUGGGGGGGGGAGAAAAAAUAGCUUUGUUGCUUUGCCAGGCAAAGGGGCACGGCAGGCUCCUGGCUUCAAAAACUAUGUGUCCCCAAGUUGGUCAUUUCAUGAUAGGAGAAGGUGGGGAUGUUGACUUCCACAUUCAACACAGAAAACAAGUUCACAUGUUUUCCAAAAAGCAAUACCUUACAGGUUGAAUUCCUUAUAAAGCACAGAGCUUGGUUUGUAUUCCAGCCCUGUACUCAUGGGUAAAUCCACAGAUUGCCCUGUAGUUCAGAGUUCAUGAGGAAAAUAGAGACUUUCUCCUGAAGUUUAAAAAGAGAGAAAUCUCAUACAUGGAAUUAAAUAUAGAAUUGCUAAAGAAUUGCAAGAGUAGGAAUUAGGAGACUGUCCCUGGAUUGAAGUCAAGAACAUUCCACUAUACUUGCAACCUAGAGAUAAGGGGAAAAGAAUUAGAAAGCAGUUGCUAUAUCCUCCACCACCACAGAACUGCCUCUCAACACUCAAUUCUGGAUGAUCUUGAUAACAGCAGAAAGAUGGCCUCUUUCUUACUCCUGCCUUCUAAAUCCAGCAGAAGGGCAUUUAACAGUGGGAAUUUAAUUUGCAUCAUGAACCCUAGCUGGAAGGAAGUCUAGGAAAUGUGGUAUUUAGCUUUCCAGCCUCUGGAGUAAUGAAGUUCCAUAGGAAGAAGUAGGAAUAGAUGCUGAGGGCCAAUUGAUCAUACACUGCAUCAUGAUAAGAAUAGCCAGCCUUUACGGAGCAUUCACCUUUUCUUGGGUACUCUGCCUAUUUUCUCUCACGUAAUCCCCACAGCAACAUUAUGAGGUAUAUGCUGUUUUUAUCUCUGAUUUACAGAUGAGGAAAUAAGCAUUGAGAACAUUAGUUAGCCUGCCCAGGAUAAUAUACCUUAAAAGCAGAAGUUCCAGGAUUCAAACCAGGCAAUCUAUCUCCAUUAACACCUAACCCUCCACGGAAUUGCCACUUAUAUAAUAGCUGACAUUUUGCCUUUCAUAUAACAGGCAACACUUUUCUACUGUUUCAUAGACUUAAAAGUACAAAACAAUUUACGAAAAAUUUAUCUCCAAGCAGAUGAGAAAUCUUCACAGGAAACUAAGACGUUGUUAGAAAGCCUUAGGGUGAGCAUGGAGUUAGUAUAGGAGGAUUUAAUCAAAUUAUCUAAUGAGCUUGCAUGAGUCAUUUGCAAUAACAUGAUAACCUCACCUCUACUAGAAAGGCGGACAUACCAUGAGGUCAUAAAUAGAUAUGGGUUGGUCAGGUGGGGAAUGUAGGAGAACUACUAAAAGUAACAAUUUGUGGAGUUCCCUGAUGGCUCAGCAGGCUAAGGAUCUGGCAUCGUCACUGUGGCAUGGAUCCCACUCUGUGGCAUGGGUUCAAUCCUGGCCUGGGAACGUCUUCAUGCCCUGCCAUGGCCAAAAAAUAAAAUAAAUUAACAAUUUUUUUAUUGUCCA
RNAcentral lists this long non-coding RNA (1665 nucleotides) under Sus scrofa (pig). Its description in RNAcentral is "lncRNA (ENSSSCG00055001333.1)". The record is from RNAcentral. Lineage: Eukaryota; Metazoa; Chordata; Mammalia; Artiodactyla; Suidae.